GAUUCAUAGAAUUUGAUGAAUUGGUCAAAGCAAUUUUACCUGAUAUGAAUGAAGACAUGUUUGUAAAUCAAGAACAACUUUUAGAUGUUUUUCAAAUGUUCGAUCGUGACGGUAAUGGCUACAUUAGCGCUGCAGAGCUUGCUGGGUCCAUGGCGAAAAUGGGUCAGCCAUUAACAUAUACCGAGCUUACAGAGAUGAUCAAGGAGGCAGAUACAGA
Molecule: unclassified non-coding RNA, 217 nt
Filed under: Hevea brasiliensis (rubber tree)
Lineage: Eukaryota; Viridiplantae; Streptophyta; Magnoliopsida; Malpighiales; Euphorbiaceae
Source: RNAcentral